RNAcentral lists this ribosomal RNA (803 nucleotides) under Beauveria bassiana. Its description in RNAcentral is "partial large subunit ribosomal RNA". It matches the Rfam family "Eukaryotic large subunit ribosomal RNA", at positions 83 to 917 of the family's 3401-position model. Lineage: Eukaryota; Fungi; Ascomycota; Sordariomycetes; Hypocreales; Cordycipitaceae. The record is from RNAcentral.
GUAACGGCGAGUGAAGCGGCAACAGCUCAAAUUUGAAAUCUGGCUCUCAGGGCCCGAGUUGUAAUUUGUAGAGGAUGCUUUUGGCGAGGUGCCUUCCGAGUUCCCUGGAACGGGACGCCACAGAGGGUGAGAGCCCCGUAUGGUCGGACACCGAGCCUCUGUAAAGCUCCUUCGACGAGUCGAGUAGUUUGGGAAUGCUGCUCAAAAUGGGAGGUAUAUGUCUUCUAAAGCUAAAUAUUGGCCAGAGACCGAUAGCGCACAAGUAGAGUGAUCGAAAGAUGAAAAGCACUUUGAAAAGAGGGUUAAAAAGUACGUGAAAUUGUUGAAAGGGAAGCGCCUAUGACCAGACUUGCGCCCGGUGAAUCACCCAGCGUUCUCGCUGGUGCACUUUGCCGGGCACAGGCCAGCAUCAGUUCAGCGCGGGGGAGAAAGGCUUCGGGAAUGUGGCUCCCUCGGGAGUGUUAUAGCCCGCUGCGUAAUGCCCUGCGCCGGACUGAGGUACGCGCAUUGCAAGGAUGCUGGCGUAAUGGUCAUCAGCGACCCGUCUUGAAACACGGACCAAGGAGUCGUCUUCGUAUGCGAGUGUUCGGGUGUCAAACCCCUACGCGUAAUGAAAGUGAACGCAGGUGAGAGCUUCGGCGCAUCACCGACCGAUCCUGAUGUUCUCGGAUGGAUUUGAGUAAGAGCAUACGGGGCCGGACCCGAAAGAAGGUGAACUAUGCCUGUAUAGGGUGAAGCCAGAGGAAACUCUGGUGGAGGCUCGCAGCGGUUCUGACGUGCGAAUCGAUCGUCAAAUAUGGGCA